RNAcentral lists this long non-coding RNA (1121 nucleotides) under Nannospalax galili (Upper Galilee mountains blind mole rat). RNAcentral's name for it is "lncRNA (ENSNGAG00000024538.1)". The record is from RNAcentral. Lineage: Eukaryota; Metazoa; Chordata; Mammalia; Rodentia; Spalacidae.
CUGACCUGUAACUAACUAUAUAGACCAGACUGGCCUCAAUCUCACAGAGAUCUGCCUGCCUAUGCUGGGGUUGCAGGCAUGCACCACCACAGCCAGCUAAAACCACACACUUUAAAAUCUAGUUUCUUAGAUAUGUUAAAGUAGAGCUGAAUUACAAUACAAAAUACUAAGAUGAUAGUAUAAUGUUUUUCCACAGUGUCUCUUACUGUGGGACAUUUUGCAAUGGACCUGAGCAAACCCAAGCCUGGUUUGUACACACUCAGGUCCUACAAACAACAGCAAAAAUCAGGGUCUGGAAAGGUGCCCCCUAUGCUGGAAGAUUGAAAGGGGCAGGCUGACCUUGACCCUGUUCUCCAGAUAGCCGAGGAGGCUUCUACUUGCUGCCGGUGAAUGGCUGCUCAGAGGAGGAUGACAGAGAGAUAAGGGAGCGGUUGGGGGGCCUCAAAGUCUCCCUCAGUGCCUCUGUCCCCCGGCACCACCAUAAAGGAAUUCCUCCUCUACAAGAUGUGCCAGUAGAUGCCUUCACCCCACGCCGAAGUGUGUGUACACCUCCUCCCCAGCCACCUCCUGUGGCUCCCCGGCCUCCCAGGCCCAACUGGCUACUGACAGAACCCCUAAACAGAGAGGACCCCCAUCAGAAUCAGAGCCAGGCCCCAGCCCAAAGCCGAAGCCACAGCCACAGUCGAGGUCAAGGCAAGUCCCCUGGGCGCAGGCGCUCCCCUUCUCCCACUCCCAUCAGUACUGCCAGCACAUCCAAUGGGCGCUACUACAGGCCUCGAAAGGCCCGGCCCUCCCUUCCCCGACCUCUGGAUGGGCAGGUAGCCAGACAAGGGCCCUCAGAGAAUGGAGCUGGUGGAACAGCUGAGGAGUCAGUCAUGAAGGCCUCCACUGGAGAGCUGAGGACAGUCUCGCUGUCCAAAAUGAAGCAGUCCUUGGGCAUCAGCAUUUCAGGGGGCAUUGAGUCCAAGGUGCAGCCCAUGGUGAAGAUAGAGAAGAUCUUCCCAGGUGGAGCUGCCUUCUUCAGUGGGGCCCUACAGGUUGGUAAAGCACUAGGCUUGGAGUUGGAAGUGUGGCUGGGUGCAGGUCUGCUCCACAUUCAUCUUCCAGACAGGCAUGUUCAG